This 255-nucleotide ribosomal RNA is filed under the name uncultured bacterium. RNAcentral's name for it is "partial 16S ribosomal RNA". It matches the Rfam family "Bacterial small subunit ribosomal RNA", at positions 793 to 1055 of the family's 1533-position model. The record is from RNAcentral.
GUCCACGCCGUAAACGAUGUAUACUAGCUGUUGGGGGCAACCUCAGUGGCUAAGCGAAAGUGAUAAGUAUCCCACCUGGGGAGUACGUUCGCAAGAAUGAAACUCAAAGGAAUUGACGGGGGCCCGCACAAGCGGUGGAGCAUGUGGUUUAAUUCGAUGAUACGCGAGGAACCUUACCAAGGCUUAAAUGUAGAUUGACCGGUUUUGAAACAGACUUUUCGCAAGACAAUUUACAAGGUGCUGCAUGGUUGUCGU